This 427-nucleotide ribosomal RNA is filed under the name uncultured bacterium. RNAcentral's name for it is "bacterial SSU rRNA". It matches the Rfam family "Bacterial small subunit ribosomal RNA", at positions 355 to 774 of the family's 1533-position model. The record is from RNAcentral.
UGGGGAAUUUUGGACAAUGGGCGCAAGCCUGAUCCAGCCAUGCCGCGUGCAGGAUGAAGGCCUUCGGGUUGUAAACUGCUUUUGUACGGAACGAAAAGGUGCCUUCUAAUAAAGGGCGCUCAUGACGGUACCGUAAGAAUAAGCACCGGCUAACUACGUGCCAGCAGCCGCGGUAAUACGUAGGGUGCGAGCGUUAAUCGGAAUUACUGGGCGUAAAGCGUGCGCAGGCGGUUUUGUAAGACAGAGGUGAAAUCCCCGGGCUCAACCUGGGAACUGCCUUUGUGACUGCAAGGCUGGAGUGCGGCAGAGGGUGAUGGAAUUCCGCGUGUAGCAGUGAAAUGCGUAGAUAUGCGGAGGAACACCGAUGGCGAAGGCAAUCCCCUGGGCCUGCACUGACGCUCAUGCACGAAAGCGUGGGGAGCAAACA